AGUUUGAUUAUGGCUCAGAACGAACGCUGGCGGCAUGGAUUAGGCAUGCAAGUCGAACGAAGUAGCAAUACUUAGUGGCGCAAGGGUGAGGAACGCGUGAGUGACCUACCCGCAAGUUUGGAACAGCUCCUGGAAACGGGAAUUAAUACCGGAUGUGAUCAAUGAGCUGCAUGGUUUAUUGAUUAAAGCAGUAAUGCGCUUGCGGAUGGGCUCGCGUCCCAUUAGCUAGUUGGUGAGGUAACGGCCCACCAAGGCCAUGAUGGGUAGCUGGUCUGAGAGGACGACCAGCCACACUGGGACUGAGAACUGCCCAGACUCCUACGGGAGGCUGCAGUCGAGAAUUUUGGGCAAUGGACGAAAGUCUGACCCAGCAAUGCCGCGUGCGGGAUGAAGGUCUUCGGAUUGUAAACCGCUGUUUGGAGGGACGAAAAUUGACGGUACUUCCAGAGAAAGCCACGGCUAACUACGUGCCAGCCGCUGC
RNAcentral lists this ribosomal RNA (481 nucleotides) under uncultured bacterium. RNAcentral describes it as "bacterial SSU rRNA". It matches the Rfam family "Bacterial small subunit ribosomal RNA", at positions 10 to 518 of the family's 1533-position model. The record is from RNAcentral.